AGGAUCAUUUUGCAGCUAUGAGCUGCAUGAUUUUUGUCCUUGAACAGGAAGAUUCUUCUGGCUGCUGAGGACCACAAGUGGGCUUGGCAGGCUGGAGGGAGCAGGACUUCUCAGGAGAAAGCAGGAUGAAAUCCUUCAGUCCAUUUUGGGCGUGUGGCGUGGUCCUAAGGGCUCCAAGAGCAACAGAAAUGAGGCAGGAGACUGUAUGGAAUCACUAGGUCUAAGUUACUCACCUCUACUCUAGUGUAUGGCAGAUGAGAAGAAGUAUAGAAAACCAAGACUCUUCCAGAAAUCUGGUUAUGUUGAUAAUUUCAACCAUGAUUUGUCAUUCCUCUGAAAUGGCUUUCUCAGGUAUCAUAUGGAAAUCUCCAAAGCUAUUUUGUUCCAAGAGGCAAGUACAAAAAAAAAAAAAAGCUGGAUAGUAACAACAAAAAGGAAUACAAAUAAAUAUAGCAGUAGCAAAGAAAAAGAAAAGAUUAAACGUAUUGUCCUUUUCUUUAUUAAAGUCAAGAUUUGUACUCUGUU
Long non-coding RNA from Pantherophis guttatus, 525 nucleotides. RefSeq lists it as uncharacterized. NCBI's taxonomy places the organism in Eukaryota, Metazoa, Chordata, Lepidosauria, Squamata, Colubridae. The record is from RefSeq and is a predicted model, not a curated record.